Molecule: ribosomal RNA, 443 nt
Filed under: uncultured bacterium
Lineage: Bacteria
Description: partial 16S ribosomal RNA
Rfam family: Bacterial small subunit ribosomal RNA
Source: RNAcentral
CCUACGGGAGUCAGCAGUGGGGAAUAUUGGACAAUGGGGGGAACCCUGAUCCAGCGACGCCGCGUGAGUGAAGAAGUAUUUCGGUAUGUAAAGCUCUAUCCGCAGGGAAGAAAGGAAUGACGGUACCUGACUAAUAAGCCCCGGCUAACUACGUGACAGAAGCCGCGGUAAUACGUAGGGGCCAAGCGUUAUCCGGAUUUACUGGGUGUAAAGGGAGCGUAGACGGUUACGCAAGGAUGGAGUGAAAGGUGGGGGCCCAACCCCCGGACUGCUUUGGAAAGUGUAUAACUGGAGUGCAGGAGAGGUAAGUGGCAGUCCUAGGGUAGCGGUGAAAUGCGUAGAUAGUAGGAGGAAAACCAGUGGCGAAGGCGGCUUACUGGACUGUAACUGACGUUGAGGCUCGAAAGCGUGGGGAGCAAACAGGAUUAGAUACCCGUGUAGUC